Molecule: ribosomal RNA, 254 nt
Filed under: uncultured bacterium
Lineage: Bacteria
Description: partial 16S ribosomal RNA
Rfam family: Bacterial small subunit ribosomal RNA
Source: RNAcentral
UACGAAGGGGGCUAGCGUUGCUCGGAAUCACUGGGCGUAAAGGGUGCGUAGGCGGGUCUUUAAGUCAGGGGUGAAAUCCUGGAGCUCAACUCCAGAACUGCCUUUGAUACUGAAGAUCUUGAGUUCGGGAGGGGUGAGUGGAACUGCGAGUGUAGAGGUGAAAUUCGUAGAUAUUCGCAAGAACACCAGUGGCGAAGGCGGCAUCCUGGACCAACACUGACGCUGAGUGAGCGAAAGCCAGGGGAGCAAACGGG